Molecule: long non-coding RNA, 1965 nt
Organism: Homo sapiens (human)
Lineage: Eukaryota; Metazoa; Chordata; Mammalia; Primates; Hominidae
Gene: FMNL1-DT
Product: FMNL1 divergent transcript
Source: Ensembl
AGAGACGAGCUGAGGACGAGGGGGAGCCAUCUCCAAACAGGAACUCCUAAACAGGGUGGGGGGCGCGGACGCAGGCCAGUGGAGACCCCCGCCACCUGUCCCACCUCGACCAACCGUGCGCCUGUGCAGGGCACCCCUACAGGUUUUAGAAUGGGGGCACCUAUGGAAUAUGGCAGGCUGCGAGAAGCUGGGCCCGCCAAGGUGGUCCCAAGGAGGAGUGGGGGGUUGCGGAAAGGAGGAUGAGAGCCAGCCACAAGGCUGGAAAAGGAGUGGGCACCGCAGAGGAGGGAAAAAGAAUCUUGACACUGUCACCGCCAGGGAUCUAGGGGGGCCUCUUACCUUGGAGAAUAACAAUCUCUGAUGUCUGCUAAUUACAGAAAUACUUUCAGAGCUCUUUCAUUCAUCCUGACAAUGGCCAGAGAAGGUAGGUAUUGGUAGCCUUAUUUUAGAGAUGGGGAAACUGAGGCUGAGAGUAGGUAAGUAAGCUGUCCAAGGGCACUCAGCUAACAAAGGACAGAAGCAAGCCUCCUCACUGUCUACCUCCAAAACCUACACUGGCUUGGAGUUGCUGUCCUGGCCCUCCACUGCCCAUCUCAUGUAGGACGGGAGAGUAUGGGGGGCUGGGGUCCCAUCUAUAGCCUGAAUUUGAGACUUUCAGUUGCUCCUCUCAUUCCCCAUUUAAUUUGUGGGGAUCCCCAACUGACCCCUCCCUACACUUCCAGGGCACUGAGGAGGGAGGGCCCGCUGAAGGAGCCCCGAAUUAUCUCUAGGCCAGGUCAGGAGCCAUUAGUGUCCCCUCCCCUGACAGCAUCCUCCUCCUUCUGCCCUCACAUUCAGAGCCACUGACAAGACUUUAAGCAAGAGACGGAGAGUUAACAUCUAAUCUGGAGGAAGACCCUGGAAGGAGCCAGCCCCUUCCCCCAGGCUGACCUGGUUUAAGCCUUUCUUCUGCCAAGGUCACCAGCACCCCAGAUGGGUGAGAGAUGUGAUCACUGGUUUCGUGGCCUGACCAAGGACCUCCAAGAUUCUGUGGCAGAUGAGAAAUGCCUUGGUCCUUGGGCUGCUUGCAGCCUAGCGAGGGACAGACUUUUAACCUCUCUAGGAGAGUGGCUGCUUCAAGUCAUCCUAUGGGACCAGCUGUUCAUGCUUCCUCUUGCCCAGAACUACUUCUGUGAGAGGAAAAGAGAAGGGUAGGAGCGUGCCCUGCAGCUGGAAACCCAAGCCAGGCGGGGAGCCACGAAUGCAGUAGUUAUCAGACUGUAUCUUCAAUCCUGGGGGCUUCUCAAGCCAUUGCCAGCCACUCUUCACCCAAGGCCUGGUGGAAUAAAGCUGGGCUAAGUAACACCUCUUCUGUGGAAAAUUAUUGUUUCUGCAAGCCUAUAUUCAUUCUCCCUCUCUCUCAUGCUGAUCAGAACUGUGAGUUACAAAAAAAAUGAGAAGAUGGAAUCAAUUAUUACGUAGUAAAUUUCAUUUGCUUGGCAGGAGGUAUCUUUCCCAUCUUGGCCCACAGAGGAGGAAAUCCUAGAAGGGAUGACUGAAGCUUGGGACUAACACAUUGGUGGAUCUGUGCUACCCCCUGCUGGCCGUAGACGGUAUGACAGCCAAGAUAGGGCAAGGCUUCGAGGGGCGAUGGAUGGAUUCACCGCAGCGGCGACAUUUCUGGACUGUUGUCACCUUCAGUGCAGUCACUGGGAAUAUUCAGAACCCAGGUGAUUGAUAAGGUUUUCCCAGGGAUCUCUUCUCUCCCCUUCACCAUUACUCAGUAGGAGCUUCCUUAAAAACGGAAAACGAGAGGCCGGGCGCGGUGGCUCACGCCUGUAAUCCCAGCACUUUGGGAGGCGGAGGCGGGCGGAUCACGAGGUCAGGAGAUCGAGACCAUCCUGGCUAACACAACCCCGUCUCUACUUAAAAUACAAAAAAUUAGCCGGGCGUGGUGGCACGCGCCUGUAGUUCCAGCUACUCAGG